Molecule: long non-coding RNA, 1092 nt
Filed under: Lonchura striata (white-rumped munia)
Lineage: Eukaryota; Metazoa; Chordata; Aves; Passeriformes; Estrildidae
Description: domestica (Bengalese finch) lncRNA (ENSLSDG00000016077.1)
Source: RNAcentral
CGCCGCUGAAGCGCUGGGCCCUGGGCUGCCUCCUGCUCUGCCUCGGCGCCUGCCGGCAGCGAGCGGCCGCAGGCACCGCCGAGCCGCGCCGGCCGCGCCCGCUCCGCGCCGACCCCAACGUGAGUGGCCCGGUCCUGAGACCUCCUUCCCUGCGACCCGCUUCUGCGACACCCCGCUCGCAUAUCCUGGCAUCCCUGUGUCCCCCAUCCCUGGCGCUCCCAUCUCCUUGGAGCUCCCAUUCCAUCCUUGGAGCUCCCAUCUCCCUGUUCCCCCGGCAUUCCAUCCCCGGCAUCCCCUCAUUCCCCCAGCUUUGGAACGCCCAUCCCCUGCAUCUCCACGUUCCACCAGUCUUGGAGCUCCCAUCCCCAGCAUUCCCUUGUCCCCCCAGCUUUGGAAUUCCCAUCCCCAGCAUCUCCACGUUCCCCCAGCUUUGGAACUCCCAUCCCCGGCAUUCCCUCGUUCUCCCAGUCUUGCAACUCCCAUCCCCAGCAUCCCCUCCUUCUCCCAGUCUUGGAACUCUCAUCUACGGCAUCCCCUCGUUCACCCAGCUUUGGAAUUUCCAUCCUCGGCAUCCCCACGUUCCUUCAGAACACCUUUUCCCCUUUGGACUCAAACUUCCCUAGACCUACACCACCUCCACCCCACUGCAUCCUUUGCAUUCCAGCACCUUGCGUCGCCCUGGCAAUCCCUCAGGUACUCCCGUUCCCUGCAUCCCGGUGCUUGGCACCCCUCAAUGCCCAACAUCUUUGGGGGUUUUUUUGAGUUUUCCUUUCUUUUGGCUGAAGUUGCAGUGCUGCUUUUAAAGCUGCCUGGCUACUCUCGGGAUGCCUGCUAUGUCAUGCAAAAAGUGAAAGCAAAAUUUGAUCCCUGAGCAGAAGCCUAUGGAAAACAAAGGAUUGCUGAGCUUCUCCCCUCCCUUUCCUGCCUCCAGCGGGAGCUGAAAUCCAUUUCCCUUUCCCAGGCUCUGGAUUCCUUGUACUUCACGGGCUUUGCAGAGACCAACAAGACCUUUGUGAUUGCUCGCCUGGCCCGACGCCCCGCUGGCCUCUGUGAGAUGUGGCUCUUCCUGAGGCUGGAUGGGAUAGGCGAGUU